GAGGCAAGGAGACAAGGACACUUCUGGCAGAAGGGAGUACAUGAACAUAAAGGCAGAGGUGCAAAGAACAAUUUGGCUGCACUUGUAACAUUGUUUACCAGGCUGGUGAAGAUGGGUUCUUCCCCCUUUGCUGUGGAACCUAUCAACUAUUAUGUUACAGCUCACAGGAAGGAAAGGCAAAGAAGAGACAUCAGGAUCCAUUGAGCAAUGUAGUGACUUGAUGAAAGUAAUGUUGUGGGAAAAUUAAACCAGGAUUUGCAGGAUUUCAUAUGGCCAUCCGGAUGGCAAAUGCAUCAGCUGAAAAGGUAAAUUGAGCAGUGAGAUGAAUGUGAUAGCUGAGGCUGGCAUGACAUCAUGAUGAAGACUAGGAUCAACCAGGAUAAAUUCACAUGGGGAGGACAUAUAGUUUCAACUAGCAACAUGGGAGAUUUGAGAUGAAACAUUCUAAUCAUUAUGAUAAACAUUCUAAUCAUCAUGCACCCAAAAGAAACUAAGGAGAACAGGAGAGAUGGAAGAGUGAGGACCCAUUAUUAUCUGUCUCCUGCUUCUUUGU
Myotis lucifugus (little brown bat) is the source of this 553-nucleotide long non-coding RNA. RefSeq lists it as uncharacterized. Lineage: Eukaryota; Metazoa; Chordata; Mammalia; Chiroptera; Vespertilionidae. The transcript is spliced from 3 exons. The record is from RefSeq and is a predicted model, not a curated record.